GCCAGGAAGCCCAGAGCGGGACGAGGACAGUGGCUGAGCAGGGAGUGGUCUGGGCAAGAGAGCUGCAGGCGCUCUGUUUCAGCCCUCUCUAUUUGUCUGAAGGUUUCUUGCCAUGAUUGUGCAGAGGAUGGAGAAGCUUGAGGCUCUUGAAGAGAUCAAAUGCCUCCCCCAGCAGGCUGAGCCAGAACAGCAGCAGCUGGGAAAGAAGAGACACCCAGGCACCCGGAACAGCUCAAGCGAAGACACUGCUUUAGAAAGGAAUGCAUGGUAGUAACACAGGUUACCCAGUACAUGCAGAUUUACACAGUCAUGUCAAUAGCACUCAGUGUGUCUGCUGUCAGCUGUGAAACACGUCCUUCGUGCUUGCUGAUGAUAAAAAUCCGCAUAACUCGCAGCAGCUCUGUCUUUUGUGAGGCGUUCAUUCAGGCAGACCCUCUUGUGAACGUUGUUCAUGGGCUCUUCCAUUUGUGCUCUCAGAGCAGGAAACUCUUACUUAGCCCGGUGGCCAACACUCUUUGCCAUGGAGAACAUUCACAAAUGGGAAUUUUACUUACUUUUCCCUGUAGGAACUGAACAGACCAAUCAGUCUUCAGUUGAUGGGAAGAAGACCAGAAGACCUCUGUGUACUUCAGGGGUCUCCCGGGAGAGCUCGAAGGUCAUGGAUAGUUCCACAUGCCAAAGCACCUCAUCUCAGGAAAAAGAUGCUACUCAGACAGCUGUUGAGGGGAGACCUGUGAGUAGGAGCUGGGUGGAUGUGGUGGCUCUCCUUUGCGGCAGCGCAUUGGCGCUCAGGACUGCUGGGAGGGCGCUGCCGCACACACAGCCUCUCUCGGCUCGUGACGCAUAGUGGGUUGUCAGAGUGUCUCCUGAGAAAUCCCCUGGCAACUAGGAAGGGAUCUUCUCAGCCUGGGAGUCUCUGUCUUGAACAAUUAGGAGGGGUCUGGCUUCCUGACCUGCGGGGCACUUAUUUCCACCUCCGGCUGAGACCACUCCCCAGGAAUUCAGCUUGUCUUGGAGCCAGCUGUUCCAGUGUGCACCAUGUCCUAAUCCUGAGGGUGAAGAAAUUUGGGGGCUGAAUCACAAUUCCUGCCUGUUUUUGUUGUGUCAUGAAGCUUAUUCUUUAAUGCAUUUCUUAACUCUUCAGGAAGAAGAAACUCUGUCCAGCAGCAAGCUGCUGAGCUCCCAAGAGCCUGCUCGUCAGGAACUUCAGAGUCCUGAAGACAGCUUGAGUGAGCCAUCGCAGGAGGAGCAAGACACUGAAAACCAAGAAGGCAGUACAGAGGAUUCUUCUAGACAGCUGUGUCUCUGUCCUGAGACAAGAACAUCCCUCUCUUCAGGAGCCUCUGAAGAAGACAAUGAGACAAAGAGAGCAGAAGAUUUUUGCAGGUAUGACAUCAGCAUCCCCCUACAUCUCAGAAGAUAGCAGCUGUCAUGCUCUGACAUGGUUUAGGGGUACCCACUGAUAGGGUUCAGAAGACUUUCUUCUCUUUAUCCUGAGCCUUUCCUGCCUCACCAUCACUGCCCCCUGCCCCAUACUUAGUUCACUCCUCUAGCUUCCUGGUGGAAGGGCUUUAUUCUCAAAGCACCCAAAUGAGAAAGAGCUGCGGGAUGCCUCCGGGGUGUCUCCACCAACACAUCCUGCGCCCACAGGCUCCGGAGCCUCAUUUAAUCUCUGACCCUUCCCCACGGACCUUGCCUGAGCUACGCCACAGGGGGCCUGUGCCCGACCUUGCUGAUUCUGCCCUUGCCUUGCCCACCUGAUUUCCUGGCUUGUCCGUGACCUGCCUCGUCGCUAUGGGCUUGCUGGCAACUGCCAAAGUGUCAGCUGGCCCUGGUUACUGUCACCACUGUUAUGGAAAUUAGGCUUGUUGGCCACCAUAACAGGGCUCGACCCUAGGUUCCCGCAAGUAAAGUUCAGAGCCAAAUCAAAACAAAUUAAAUUUUAAUCACGCGCGUGCCAUAAUUACAGCUCGAGCUGGGUGCCUCCUAAGAGGGACCCUAACAUAAACAAAUCCUGGGCAAUUACAGUUUUUUCAACUUACAUUUCCCACCCCUCACGCGAUAGUUAGACCAAUAGUAAUUUUUUGGCCUGGGGUCUCCUGCUCCUCAUUGGGUCUCAUCGUCAUUCUGAGGUAAGCUGUUUUUCUCCUUAUUUUUGUUUUUUGCGGUCUCUGAUGACGGUUGUACCUCUGUUUUUGUUGGGUCUUACUGUUGUGUCUUAAGGUCCUGAGGAGGACGUGAUUCUAAAUCAUAACAAUUAACACUGCCCCAGCAGUGAGCUGAGGCUUUGUCCCUCAAGGUCCUAAUGCCCUGCGCUGGUCUUCUUUCAAAGCCUUGACACCCUCCCUUUCGGGGUGUGAGAUACAUUCCUGCAGACACCCUCCCUUUCGGGGUGUGAGAGGCAGGAAUGCAGACUGCUUGUAACUUCCUUAUCUUCCUAGCUUGAACCAGCUCUGAGGCCCUUUUCUUACUGGACUAAGUAAAAGUUCAUUAUUUUAUCUAAGUGCGGCCUAAGGCUUCAGCAAAUUUAGCUACUCAUGCUAAGCAAAUGUUAUAGAAGUUGUGCUAAGCAGCUACCUCUAGACAGUUUCAGUUUGCUAUUCUUUAACAGUUCCCCCCUUUGUUUUUAUGAAGCAUCCCUGCUAAUACUUUAAACAGAGUUCUCAAAGCCUUGCAAGGCGUACUAUCACGUUCCAUAAUCUUAUGCAUGAUAUGAUCGUAAGCAAUAGGCAUAACACAGUUAAAGUUAGCACAACUACUACUGGGUGCAACACAUGAUUAUAAACGCUGUUGUAGUUGGUGACCACCCUAGAAGAGUUUCCCAGCCAUGAUGUUCUCCGUCCCUUUUUAUCCUUUCCGAGACGUGGUGUAUCUCUUCCGCAUCAUGACGAAUGGUGAUUAGAGUUUUCUGUCCACUGUUUCGGAUGCGUUCUAGCAGUCAACGCAAAUCAUCAUGUUAUAGUAGUUUCUUUACCAGGGUGAGAUUCAUCCCAAUGGGGGUAGGUAGUAAAUUUUGAAUUAAUGUAUGAGUAGAUUGUAACAAUUGAUAAGAUCUAAUAGGAGCUGAAUAAUUAAAGUCGCAUCCCAUAAUCUUGGGUAAAGUUACAAAUACAAAUAUUUGAGUGAUGACUUGUAUCUACAGCAAUGUUAUCUAUGAAUAUAAGAUUACAAAGUGUUCUUACACAUACACAUCCUUUUUUAACAUAUACAAGUACAGUUCAACUUUAGCAGCAAAAGAAGAACAUAGUAUGACAGUAUAUGGCCUGUUCCAUUUAGGUUUUAACUUGGAUUUUUGUGAAAAUACUUUAACUAAAACUUCAUCCCCAGGCUGUAUACCAAGCACUUGUAUGUCAGGUGGUGUGGAUUGAUAUCAUUGAGCAUAUAUAUAUAUAUACAUUUUUUUUUUUAAGAUUUUCAAACCUUUUUGCAUACUUAGAACAUACUGGGUUAGUCGUUCAUCUCUGUCUAACAGGCUGGUCUUAGCUGGAAUAAUAAGUCCCUAGUACAGCUAAAUGUCUCCCGAAGAGAAUUUCUGCUGGUGUUAGUCCUAUGGGUUGCCAUGGGACAUUUCAAACAUGCCAUAGAGCUAAGUUUAAUGCUUCUGGCCAUUUUAGGCUAGCACGUGUGCAUAUUCUUGCUAUUUUUUCUUUUAAUGUUCUAUUCAUUCUUUCUACUUGUCCUGAAGAUUGUGGGUGAUAAGGGGUACAUAGGUUUCUUUUUAUUCCUAAUGAUUUAUAUAACUGAGUGAUUAUGCUGGCCGUGAAAUGGGCACCCCUAUCUGAAUCAAUGGCUUCUGGGACCCCAUACCUAGGUAUGAGUUCUUUCAGUAAGGCUUUUACCACUCCCCCUGUGUCGGCCUUUCUUGUUGGGAAAGCUUCUACCCAGCCUGAUAACUGAUCUACUAUCACUAACAAGUAUUUGCACCCAUUGGCGGAUGGCAUAUCCGCAUCAUCUAUUUGCAGCUUUUGGAAAGGGAAGUCAGCCCAUGGUCGCCUCCCCUAAAUCUGAGCUUGGCUUGUUAUUUGAAAACUUCUGGCAGGUCGGGCAGCUAUUUGUUAUUCUUUUAGCAGCUGCAUAAAUUCCUGGAGCAGCCCAUACUUUCUGUACCUGCUUAGCUAUUGCCUCGGCUCUCCCAUGAGCUUUAUCGUGAAACCACCUAGCUAUAGUAAUUAAAUAUUUUUUUUGGUAGAAUUGGUUUUCCUCCAAUUGUCCAUAUUCCAUCAUCACUUUGUUUUGCUUCCCACUGCUCCCACUGUUUUUUCUCUUCCACUGAGCAGUCUUUUUCAUACAUAGUUUUGGGGUCUAUUAAGUUUGGCCACUCGCUCUGGUCCAUCCUUGGAACUGCCCCCAUACAUUCUUUCAGAGGCUGUCGAGCUGCAGCUUUUGCAGCAGCGUCGGCUAAAGCAUUUUCUCUGCUAAUUUCUGUAGUGUCUUUAGUAUGGGCUGGGCAGUGUAUUACAGCAAUUUCUUUGGGCAGUUGAACUGCUUCCAGCAAAUUACGUAUUUCUUCUCCAUUAGCUAAUUUCUUUCCUGAUGACGAAAAGAAUCCUCGUUCUUUCCAUCACAUCCCUGUUGCGUGACAUACUCCAAAUGCAUAUUUAGAAUCGGUAUAGAUAUUUACCCGCAGGUUCUUACCUGUUUUUGCUGCUUGGGUCAUUUUUGAGUGUACGCGAAAAAAUAGUCGGAGACCCAGUAAAUCCCUGUGGCAGCCUCGUCCAAGUUAAUUGUUGUCCCUUCUAAGUGAAAGCAAAGAGAUCUUGGCUGUCUUCAGCUCUCAGUAUACUAAAAAAGGCUGCUGUUAGGUCAAUCACAGUAAAAUAAGUUGCCCAAUGAGGUAUUUGUAGUAAAAUGGUUGAGGGGUCGGGAACUACUGAAUGUGGAGCAACUACAUGUUGGAUUAUAGCCCUUAAGUCUUGUACAAACCGAUACUCCGGAUCACCAUCAGAAUCUUGCCUGUUCUUUUUAACCGGCAGAAUCGGAGUGUUGUACAGAGAUUCACAGACUCUAAGGAUACCCAGUUUCAAAGAAUGAUUGAUUUGUUUUUGGAUACUCUUCUCUGCUUCCUUUGGGAUAGGGUAUUGUUUAACUGCAGGAGGCAAUCCCCCCUUUGUUUUUAUCGAGACUGGACUAGCUGAUUUCAGUAGUUCCACAUCCAUUCCUGAAGAGCUUCAUAACUUUUUAGAAACUGAUUCUAAACUUGUUGGAAUUUGCAGAUUAGUCGACUCUGGUUCUGGUGUCUUAGCCAGAACACAUGAGCCCAUAAUUAUUAAUUGUAUCCCUUCCAGCUGUAAACAGAUCUGCGUAUCCAAGGCUUGCAGGAGAUCUCUCCCUAAGAGGCAAGAGGGCGAGUCUGUGGAAAUUAUAAAACGUCCCCACACUGUUUUACCCCCAAUAGUGAGCAAUAAGGGCUUAGAUAACAUUCGUUCACCUUUUCCCAUGACUCCUUGCAUCACUAUUUUGUCUGAUGACUUGCAUCCUUUAGGCUCAAAAUUUAAAAGGGAAAGGGUGGCUCCAGUAUCUACUAGAAAGGGAACUUCUAAACCUUCUAUAUUUGCCAUUGUCUGCCCCUCAAAAUUCAAAUCUAUAUCCCAUAAAUUUACCCCAAUUUCCACAGUAUUUUCUGAGUCUCCUAUCUCCUGUCAUUGUGGGCUGACUGGGAAUUGCCUGGUCUCAUUCUUAGUGUUUGAUUUUCUCAUGCUGGCCCCUCUAUUCCCAAGUACACGGGGCCUCACUGGGCAUUCCUGCUUCCAGUGCCCUUGUUCCCCGCAAUAAUGACAAACAUCAUUAACUCUCAAUUGUACACCACGUUCACUUUGAUUCCAUCUACCUCCUCUGGUUCUGCCGCGCCCCCUCCCCUUGCCAGCCUGGCAUAUGCUCUUUAAAAUACUUUUGUGUAUCAGGGGCUGCUUGAUCUAUAAAAACACUAAUUGCGAGAGCAUCGUUGAAGUUUUGUGGGGUCAUUCCUCCAUAUUUUAGCAGGGCUUACCACAGAAGUCCCCAUAGUCGUGGGGGUGUUCAUCUAAUCACUGUCCGCAUUCUUGCACUUCAAUCCAAUUUACUCCUAACUCUCUGCAUGCUCUAAUUACUUCUGCUAAAUUUCAAAGUCCUGUUUGACACACAGCUCUAUCUCCUGCAUUAUUACAAUCCCAAUUUGGAUCAUUUGCUAGCCAGAGGUUUCUAUUCCCCCGGCUUGCUGCGCUUCUUCCACAUCUUUAAUUAUCUUAUCCCAUUCUUUUGGUUGAAAUAAUUCCCUCAAAAGAAUUUGGGUAUCACUCCAGUUUGGGUUGUGCCCAGUGCAUAUAUUAGAAAAUAACUGGACACAUCGCUCUGCAUCCUUUCUUAAUCUCUGCAUUUUACCCCCCCCCCCCCAUAAGGCGAGAUCGCCAGGGUCCCGGGGUUGAUUAGUAAAUACCCACAGCACAGGAGGGGGGGACUGGCCCCUCCCUUUCCCCCUGGCUGUAAAGCGGCAGGGUUAGUCAGCACGUUGGGGAUCAUAGGAUAGAGUCCGGCAGCCGGUGGAGUAGAGGGAGAGGGAGGAGGAGAAGAAGUAAUGACAGAGAGAUCAUCAGGCAUAUAAGGUGGAGCAGAAACUUUUGGAGCACAGUCCGGGGUACUAGUAUCUGCUAGCACAAGUGUUACCUUCGGCAGGUUUCUUUCCUCCCUCCCUCCUGGCUCAAAUGCUUCCGUGCCCAUGCCCAGUUAUCCCAAACAUACCAGUAAUCCAUUAGACUUGGAAACCUGUCUUCUAGACGAUUUCACAAGGAAGUUAGUUCCUGCUGAUCAAAAGUCCCUUGCGGUGGCCACCGUUCUGCUGGGUUUCCCUCCUUUGUCAGGAAUGGGCAAUCCUCCUGACACAGCUGGAUCAACCUUUUUUCCUUAGAUUUUUUUGGUACUCCAGUUUUCCAAAAUUUCGGCUAAGGGCGUCCCCUUUUCUAUGCCGAAAUUAUUCCCCAUACUGAGUUUCUGAAAAGUGCGUCUUAAGCAAGUCAGGCAGCGCACUUCCUUACCAGUAACACCAGCCCCUGUAGCUGGUGCGAUCACACUCUCUUUCUCUCACUCUCUGGGAACCGCACUCCCACCCCCCGAGUCUUUAACUGCUAGGACUGCUGUCCCUGCGCAGCGGGCGGCUUCCUCAGCCGACGGGUGCCCCGGUCGGUUCCCAGGCUACACACACACACACACACACACACACACACACACAGAGUACUGUUCACGCUCACACCAGUCUCAGUGACUCUAGACUUCUGUCUUACAGUCUUGCAGUGCGCCUUAUGCUGAUCAGGCUGUGCAUCCCUGCUCCGGCUGGACCGAGCUGGGACUUACAACCCACUCAAACCCUGGGGAUGGGACUCGCACCCGUCCCCCUGGUACGCCUUACAGUGGCCAGCCCGUGUACCCCCCUGCCUGGUACGCCUUACGGUGAUCAGCCUGCCUACCCCUUACAGUGCACUGUUACCAGACCAGAAUUUAGAAUUUAGGCGGGAGUUUAAGACUCACCUUCUCGGUGCCUCUCGGUGCCAAAGAUCCCAGGUGAACUCACCCGAUGGCACCAGAUGAUCGUUUGGAGACGAGAGACCCCGACAGUGGUCGCCUAGGGUCCCAUCUGGGGUGCCAAACUGUUAUGGAAAUUAGGCUUGUCGGCCACCAUAACAGGGCUCGACCCUAGGUUCCCGCAAGUAAAGUUCAGAGCCAAAUCAAAACAAAUUAAAUUUUAAUCACGCGCGUGCCAUAAUUACAGCUCGAGCUGGGUGCCUCCUAAGAGGGACCCUAACAUAAACAAAUCCUGGGCAAUUACAGUUUUUUCAACUUACAUUUCCCACCCCUCACGCGAUAGUUAGACCAAUAGUAAUUUUUUGGCCUGGGGUCUCCUGCUCCUCAUUGGGUCUCAUCGUCAUUCUGAGGUAAGCUGUUUUUCUCCUUAUUUUUGUUUUUUGCGGUCUCUGAUGACGGUUGUACCUCUGUUUUUGUUGGGUCUUACUGUUGUGUCUUAAGGUCCUGAGGAGGACGUGAUUCUAAAUCAUAACAAUUAACACUGCCCCAGCAGUGAGCUGAGGCUUUGUCCCUCAAGGUCCUAAUGCCCUGCGCUGGUCUUCUUUCAAAGCCUUGACACCCUCCCUUUCGGGGUGUGAGAUACAUUCCUGCAGACACCCUCCCUUUCGGGGUGUGAGAGGCAGGAAUGCAGACUGCUUGUAACUUCCUUAUCUUCCUAGCUUGAACCAGCUCUGAGGCCCUUUUCUUACUGGACUAAGUAAAAGUUCAUUAUUUUAUCUAAGUGCGGCCUAAGGCUUCAGCAAAUUUAGCUACUCAUGCUAAGCAAAUGUUAUAGAAGUUGUGCUAAGCAGCUACCUCUAGACAGUUUCAGUUUGCUAUUCUUUAACAGUUCCCCCCUUUGUUUUUAUGAAGCAUCCCUGCUAAUACUUUAAACAGAGUUCUCAAAGCCUUGCAAGGCGUACUAUCACGUUCCAUAAUCUUAUGCAUGAUAUGAUCGUAAGCAAUAGGCAUAACACAGUUAAAGUUAGCACAACUACUACUGGGUGCAACACAUGAUUAUAAACGCUGUUGUAGUUGGUGACCACCCUAGAAGAGUUUCCCAGCCAUGAUGUUCUCCGUCCCUUUUUAUCCUUUCCGAGACGUGGUGUAUCUCUUCCGCAUCAUGACGAAUGGUGAUUAGAGUUUUCUGUCCACUGUUUCGGAUGCGUUCUAGCAGUCAACGCAAAUCAUCAUGUUAUAGUAGUUUCUUUACCAGGGUGAGAUUCAUCCCAAUGGGGGUAGGUAGUAAAUUUUGAAUUAAUGUAUGAGUAGAUUGUAACAAUUGAUAAGAUCUAAUAGGAGCUGAAUAAUUAAAGUCGCAUCCCAUAAUCUUGGGUAAAGUUACAAAUACAAAUAUUUGAGUGAUGACUUGUAUCUACAGCAAUGUUAUCUAUGAAUAUAAGAUUACAAAGUGUUCUUACACAUACACAUCCUUUUUUAACAUAUACAAGUACAGUUCAACUUUAGCAGCAAAAGAAGAACAUAGUAUGACAGUAUAUGGCCUGUUCCAUUUAGGUUUUAACUUGGAUUUUUGUGAAAAUACUUUAACUAAAACUUCAUCCCCAGGCUGUAUACCAAGCACUUGUAUGUCAGGUGGUGUGGAUUGAUAUCAUUGAGCAUAUAUAUAUAUAUACAUUUUUUUUUUUAAGAUUUUCAAACCUUUUUGCAUACUUAGAACAUACUGGGUUAGUCGUUCAUCUCUGUCUAACAGGCUGGUCUUAGCUGGAAUAAUAAGUCCCUAGUACAGCUAAAUGUCUCCCGAAGAGAAUUUCUGCUGGUGUUAGUCCUAUGGGUUGCCAUGGGACAUUUCAAACAUGCCAUAGAGCUAAGUUUAAUGCUUCUGGCCAUUUUAGGCUAGCACGUGUGCAUAUUCUUGCUAUUUUUUCUUUUAAUGUUCUAUUCAUUCUUUCUACUUGUCCUGAAGAUUGUGGGUGAUAAGGGGUACAUAGGUUUCUUUUUAUUCCUAAUGAUUUAUAUAACUGAGUGAUUAUGCUGGCCGUGAAAUGGGCACCCCUAUCUGAAUCAAUGGCUUCUGGGACCCCAUACCUAGGUAUGAGUUCUUUCAGUAAGGCUUUUACCACUCCCCCUGUGUCGGCCUUUCUUGUUGGGAAAGCUUCUACCCAGCCUGAUAACUGAUCUACUAUCACUAACAAGUAUUUGCACCCAUUGGCGGAUGGCAUAUCCGCAUCAUCUAUUUGCAGCUUUUGGAAAGGGAAGUCAGCCCAUGGUCGCCUCCCCUAAAUCUGAGCUUGGCUUGUUAUUUGAAAACUUCUGGCAGGUCGGGCAGCUAUUUGUUAUUCUUUUAGCAGCUGCAUAAAUUCCUGGAGCAGCCCAUACUUUCUGUACCUGCUUAGCUAUUGCCUCAGCUCUCCCAUGAGCUUUAUCAUGAAACCACCUAGCUAUAGUAAUUAAAUAUUUUUUUUGGUAGAAUUGGUUUUCCUCCAAUUGUCCAUAUUCCAUCAUCACUUUGUUUUGCUUCCCACUGCUCCCACUGUUUUUUCUCUUCCACUGAGCAGUCUUUUUCAUACAUAGUUUUGGGGUCUAUUAAGUUUGGCCACUCACUCUGGUCCAUCCUUGGAACUGCCCCCAUACAUUCUUUCAGAGGCUGUCGAGCUGCAGCUUUUGCAGCAGCGUCGGCUAAAGCAUUUCCUCUGCUAAUUUCUGUAGUGUCUUUAGUAUGGGCUGGGCAGUGUAUUACAGCAAUUUCUUUGGGCAGUUGAACUGCUUCCAGCAAAUUACGUAUUUCUUCUCCAUUAGCUAAUUUCUUUCCUGAUGACGAAAAGAAUCCUCGUUCUUUCCAUCACAUCCCUGUUGCGUGACAUACUCCAAAUGCAUAUUUAGAAUCGGUAUAGAUAUUUACCCGCAGGUUCUUACCUGUUUUUGCUGCUUGGGUCAUUUUUGAGUGUACGCGAAAAAAUAGUCGGAGACCCAGUAAAUCCCUGUGGCAGCCUCGUCCAAGUUAAUUGUUGUCCCUUCUAAGUGAAAGCAAAGAGAUCUUGGCUGUCUUCAGCUCUCAGUAUACUAAAAAAGGCUGCUGUUAGGUCAAUCACAGUAAAAUAAGUUGCCCAAUGAGGUAUUUGUAGUAAAAUGGUUGAGGGGUCGGGAACUACUGAAUGUGGAGCAACUACAUGUUGGAUUAUAGCCCUUAAGUCUUGUACAAACCGAUACUCCGGAUCACCAUCAGAAUCUUGCCUGUUCUUUUUAACCGGCAGAAUCGGAGUGUUGUACAGAGAUUCACAGACUCUAAGGAUACCCAGUUUCAAAGAAUGAUUGAUUUGUUUUUGGAUACUCUUCUCUGCUUCCUUUGGGAUAGGGUAUUGUUUAACUGCAGGAGGCAAUCCCCCCUUUGUUUUUAUCGAGACUGGACUAGCUGAUUUCAGUAGUUCCACAUCCAUUCCUGAAGAGCUUCAUAACUUUUUAGAAACUGAUUCUAAACUUGUUGGAAUUUGCAGAUUAGUCGACUCUGGUUCUGGUGUCUUAGCCAGAACACAUGAGCCCAUAAUUAUUAAUUGUAUCCCUUCCAGCUGUAAACAGAUCUGCGUAUCCAAGGCUUGCAGGAGAUCUCUCCCUAAGAGGCAAGAGGGCGAGUCUGUGGAAAUUAUAAAACGUCCCCACACUGUUUUACCCCCAAUAGUGAGCAAUAAGGGCUUAGAUAACAUUCGUUCACCUUUUCCCAUGACUCCUUGCAUCACUAUUUUGUCUGAUGACUUGCAUCCUUUAGGCUCAAAAUUUAAAAGGGAAAGGGUGGCUCCAGUAUCUACUAGAAAGGGAACUUCUAAACCUUCUAUAUUUGCCAUUGUCUGCCCCUCAAAAUUCAAAUCUAUAUCCCAUAAAUUUACCCCAAUUUCCACAGUAUUUUCUGAGUCUCCUAUCUCCUGUCAUUGUGGGCUGACUGGGAAUUGCCUGGUCUCAUUCUUAGUGUUUGAUUUUCUCAUGCUGGCCCCUCUAUUCCCAAGUACACGGGGCCUCACUGGGCAUUCCUGCUUCCAGUGCCCUUGUUCCCCGCAAUAAUGACAAACAUCAUUAACUCUCAAUUGUACACCACGUUCACUUUGAUUCCAUCUACCUCCUCUGGUUCUGCCGCGCCCCCUCCCCUUGCCAGCCUGGCAUAUGCUCUUUAAAAUACUUUUGUGUAUCAGGGGCUGCUUGAUCUAUAAAAACACUAAUUGCGAGAGCAUCGUUGAAGUUUUGUGGGGUCAUUCCUCCAUAUUUUAGCAGGGCUUACCACAGAAGUCCCCAUAGUCGUGGGGGUGUUCAUCUAAUCACUGUCCGCAUUCUUGCACUUCAAUCCAAUUUACUCCUAACUCUCUGCAUGCUCUAAUUACUUCUGCUAAAUUUCAAAGUCCUGUUUGACACACAGCUCUAUCUCCUGCAUUAUUACAAUCCCAAUUUGGAUCAUUUGCUAGCCAGAGGUUUCUAUUCCCCCGGCUUGCUGCGCUUCUUCCACAUCUUUAAUUAUCUUAUCCCAUUCUUUUGGUUGAAAUAAUUCCCUCAAAAGAAUUUGGGUAUCACUCCAGUUUGGGUUGUGCCCAGUGCAUAUAUUAGAAAAUAACUGGACACAUCGCUCUGCAUCCUUUCUUAAUCUCUGCAUUUUACCCCCCCCCCCCAUAAGGCGAGAUCGCCAGGGUCCCGGGGUUGAUUAGUAAAUACCCACAGCACAGGAGGGGGGGACUGGCCCCUCCCUUUCCCCCUGGCUGUAAAGCGGCAGGGUUAGUCAGCACGUUGGGGAUCAUAGGAUAGAGUCCGGCAGCCGGUGGAGUAGAGGGAGAGGGAGGAGGAGAAGAAGUAAUGACAGAGAGAUCAUCAGGCAUAUAAGGUGGAGCAGAAACUUUUGGAGCACAGUCCGGGGUACUAGUAUCUGCUAGCACAAGUGUUACCUUCGGCAGGUUUCUUUCCUCCCUCCCUCCUGGCUCAAAUGCUUCCGUGCCCAUGCCCAGUUAUCCCAAACAUACCAGUAAUCCAUUAGACUUGGAAACCUGUCUUCUAGACGAUUUCACAAGGAAGUUAGUUCCUGCUGAUCAAAAGUCCCUUGCGGUGGCCACCGUUCUGCUGGGUUUCCCUCCUUUGUCAGGAAUGGGCAAUCCUCCUGACACAGCUGGAUCAACCUUUUUUCCUUAGAUUUUUUUGGUACUCCAGUUUUCCAAAAUUUCGGCUAAGGGCGUCCCCUUUUCUAUGCCGAAAUUAUUCCCCAUACUGAGUUUCUGAAAAGUGCGUCUUAAGCAAGUCAGGCAGCGCACUUCCUUACCAGUAACACCAGCCCCUGUAGCUGGUGCGAUCACACUCUCUUUCUCUCACUCUCUGGGAACCGCACUCCCACCCCCCGAGUCUUUAACUGCUAGGACUGCUGUCCCUGCGCAGCGGGCGGCUUCCUCAGCCGACGGGUGCCCCGGUCGGUUCCCAGGCUACACACACACACACACACACACACACACACACACACACACACACACACACAGAGUACUGUUCACGCUCACACCAGUCUCAGUGACUCUAGACUUCUGUCUUACAGUCUUGCAGUGCGCCUUAUGCUGAUCAGGCUGUGCAUCCCUGCUCCGGCUGGACCGAGCUGGGACUUACAACCCACUCAAACCCUGGGGAUGGGACUCGCACCCGUCCCCCUGGUACGCCUUACAGUGGCCAGCCCGUGUACCCCCCUGCCUGGUACGCCUUACGGUGAUCAGCCUGCCUACCCCUUACAGUGCACUGUUACCAGACCAGAAUUUAGAAUUUAGGCGGGAGUUUAAGACUCACCUUCUCGGUGCCUCUCGGUGCCAAAGAUCCCAGGUGAACUCACCCGAUGGCACCAGAUGAUCGUUUGGAGACGAGAGACCCCGACAGUGGUCGCCUAGGGUCCCAUCUGGGGUGCCAAACUGUUAUGGAAAUUAGGCUUGUCGGCCACCAUAACAGGGCUCGACCCUAGGUUCCCGCAAGUAAAGUUCAGAGCCAAAUCAAAACAAAUUAAAUUUUAAUCACGCGCGUGCCAUAAUUACAGCUCGAGCUGGGUGCCUCCUAAGAGGGACCCUAACAUAAACAAAUC
This is a long non-coding RNA of Dromaius novaehollandiae (emu), 13567 nucleotides long. RefSeq lists it as uncharacterized. The record is from RefSeq and is a predicted model, not a curated record. NCBI's taxonomy places the organism in Eukaryota, Metazoa, Chordata, Aves, Casuariiformes, Dromaiidae. The transcript has 2 exons.